Molecule: ribosomal RNA, 300 nt
Filed under: uncultured Staphylothermus sp.
Lineage: Archaea; Thermoproteati; Thermoproteota; Thermoprotei; Desulfurococcales; Desulfurococcaceae
Description: bacterial SSU rRNA
Rfam family: Bacterial small subunit ribosomal RNA
Source: RNAcentral
UGUAACUAGGGGGCGGGGGACGUGGUGAUGCGGAGGGGGGGAGCGUUAGCCGGAUUUAGUGGUGGUAAAGGGAGCGUAGGCGGGAAUGCAAGUCAGAUGGGAAAUCGCCGGGCUCAACCCGGAAACGGCAGUGGAAACUGUAUGUCUUGAGUGAUGGAGAGGCAAGUGGAAUUCCUAGUGUAGCGGUGAAAUGCGUAGAUAUUAGGAGGAACACCAGUGGCGAAGGCGACUUGCUGGACAUUAACUGACGCUGAGGCGCGAAAGCGUGGGGAGCAAACAGGAUUAGAUACCCUUGUAGUC